CUGGUUAUAUGAUGAAUAAUCUAAAUCACCAUCUUUCGGCUGAUUUGUGAUGCAUAUUUUCUUAACUGACUAUACCAG
Molecule: non-coding RNA, 78 nt
Organism: Xenopus laevis (African clawed frog)
Lineage: Eukaryota; Metazoa; Chordata; Amphibia; Anura; Pipidae
Source: Rfam